AGACGGCGGCGUGCUAUACAUGCAGUCGAACGAACUUUCUUACACCGAAUGCUUGCAUUCAUCGUAAGAAGUUGAGUGGCGGACGGGUGAGUAACACGUGGGUAACCUGCCUAAAAGAAGGGGAUAACACUUGGAAACAGGUGCUAAUACCGUAUAUCUCUAAGGAUCGCAUGAUCCUUAGAUGAAAGAUGGUUCUGCUAUCGCUUUUAGAUGGACCCGCGGCGUAAUAACUAAUUUGGUGGGGUAACGGCCUACCAAGGUGAUGAUACGUAGCCGAACUGAGAGGUUGAUCGGCCACAUUGGGACUGAGACACGGCCCAAACUCCUACGGGAGGCAGCAGUAGGGAAUCUUCCACAAUGGACGCAAGUCUGAUGGAGCAACGCCGCGUGAGUGAAGAAGGUCUUCGGAUCGUAAAACUCUGUUGUUAGAGAAGAACACGAGUGAGAGUAACUGUUCAUUCGAUGACGGUAUCUAACCAGCAAGUCACGGCUAACUACGUGCCAGCAGCCGCGGUAAUACGUAGGUGGCAAGCGUUGUCCGGAUUUAUUGGGCGUAAAGGGAACGCAGGCGGUCUUUUAAGUCUGAUGUGAAAGCCUUCGGCUUAACCGGAGUAGUGCAUUGGAAACUGGAAGACUUGAGUGCAGAAGAGGAGAGUGGAACUCCAUGUGUAGCGGUGAAAUGCGUAGAUAUAUGGAAGAACACCAGUGGCGAAAGCGGCUCUCUGGUCUGUAACUGACGCUGAGUUCGAAAGCGUGGGUAGCAAACAGGAUUAGAUACCCUGGUAGUCCACGCCGUAACGAUGAUGCUAGUGUUGGGAGGGUUUCCGCCCUUCAGUGCCGCAGCUAACGCAAUAAGCAUUCCGCCUGGGGAGUACGACCGCAAGUUGAAACUCAAGGAAUUGACGGGGGCCCGCACAAGCGUGGAGCAUGGUGGGUUUUAUUUCUAAGCAACGGCGGAAGAAACUUAUCAGUCUUGACAUCCCUUUUGAUCCACCUAAAAAAAUAAAGCUUCCUUUCUCGGACAAAGAUAGACAGAGGGUGCAUGCUGUUCUUCACCUCUGUCUCUGAAAGAAUGGUAAAUUCCGCCACGAACGCAACCACUUUGUCGCUUGCCGCACUUAAUAUAUGAGCAA
RNAcentral lists this ribosomal RNA (1133 nucleotides) under Ligilactobacillus salivarius. Its description in RNAcentral is "bacterial SSU rRNA". It matches the Rfam family "Bacterial small subunit ribosomal RNA", at positions 31 to 1138 of the family's 1533-position model. Lineage: Bacteria; Bacillati; Bacillota; Bacilli; Lactobacillales; Lactobacillaceae. The record is from RNAcentral.